RNAcentral lists this ribosomal RNA (406 nucleotides) under uncultured bacterium. RNAcentral describes it as "partial 16S ribosomal RNA". It matches the Rfam family "Bacterial small subunit ribosomal RNA", at positions 28 to 526 of the family's 1533-position model. The record is from RNAcentral.
GUUGAACGCUAGCUACAGGCUUAACACAUGCAAGUCGAGCGACCGGCGCACGGGAGUGUAAUACGUAUCCAACCUGCCCUUUACUCGGGGAUAGCCUUUCGAAAGAAAGAUUAAUACCUGAUAUAAAGGAUGGGGAUGCGUUCAAUUAGGUUGUUGGUGAGGUAAUGGCUCACCAAGCCUUCGAUGGAUAGGGGUUCGGAGGGGAAGGUCCACCAGAUUGGAACUCAGGCACGGUCCAAAAUGGUACGGAGGUCAGCGGUAAGGAGUAUUGGUCAAUGAGCGUUAGCCUGAACCUGCCAAGUAGCGGGAAGAAGGAAGGCGUAUGAGUCGUAAUCUUCUGAUAAAUAAGAAUAUGUAUUAUAUGAAUAAGCAUCGGCUAACUCCGUGCCAGCAGCCGCGGUAAUAC